Long non-coding RNA from Phasianus colchicus (ring-necked pheasant), 2058 nucleotides. RefSeq lists it as uncharacterized. The record is from RefSeq and is a predicted model, not a curated record. Lineage: Eukaryota; Metazoa; Chordata; Aves; Galliformes; Phasianidae.
CCUUCCCAGACCUCAUUUAAGGGUUGGCAGUAGGGGUGAGAUUAUUUUGUUGAAGAUCUCUGCUUAUGAAAGGUUCUUCUAAAGAUGCAGUUGUGCUGUCAUAGAAGGCCAGUAAGUUGGUCGGGCAGGAUUUGUCCUUGCUGAAGCUAUGCUGGUCAUCUUGUUUCACCUCCCUCACUUCAUAUGCCUUAGCGUAACUUCCAGGGGGAUUUGUUCCAUGAUUUACUCCAACACAGAGUACAAGAGAAAACAUUUUCCUAUCAGUAUUUAUGUAAGAAUAGGAAAAAAAGUUGUACAAAACCUUCAGAGAAGCAUUUAUAAGCAGGUGGAGAGCAAACAAAUUACAACCUAAGAUAGGCAACAUUAAGGAGGUCUUCUCAGAAUCACAGUUUGUUACAUAGCCUGGCUGUCUCUACCUGAUGUGUCUGACUCAGUAGCUGGGAAAGAAGUGUCUUCUAUCAAUCAAUGACAGAAAGUGCUGAAUCUGAAGAUGCUGACUGUGUGCCAUGUAGGGCAGGCAGACUGCUGAUAGCAGUGUCAAGGGAAGUUUAAAAAAAAAAAUUCUAUGAGUGUUAAAUGCCUUUCUAAAAGUUUUCAAAAGAUUGACCAGGAAGUAGAAUAUAUGCUCCUCAAAAGAGCAACCAUAUGAAUAACUAAAGAAUAGAACUUACAGAACAAAAUUAAAAAUUUCAUUACCACUUACUAGGAGCUGAAUAUUCUAUUAAAAAGUUUCAUGAUGCCUUCUCAAUAUUGUAUGACAAAUAACAUUUAAAUUAUUCCACAGUGAACUGAACAGACAUUAAAUAAACACUACAACAACUGUUUAAGAGCUUUUAAAAAGAGAUGAGUGUUUAUAGUGAUAUGUAACUUUAGUAACAAUUUUAGAGGUUACAACCAAUUUCCAUGGUGAACAGUGUUAUCCAUUGCUAUGAGACUGUGCAUAUUAUUCAACUUCAUUGUCUAGUAACUAGCUUACAUGUAGGAUAUGUGCAGAAUGUCCUUUAUAAUAAAGCUAUUAUAUGCCUUUACUAGCAUGUUUAAUUAAAUAUGUUAAACACAUCCUGUCACAAAAUAUGAAGCUUUCAUUCAAUUGAAAGCCUGUAAUUGUUCUGGUUAGGAGUGGGAAUUCACAUCAGUUUAGUGUCUUUCCUUUCCCAGUAAGGAAUGAAGUUUUCUCUCAAUAUGAAAAAGUUACCUAUACAAAGUAACUGAUACUAGGAAUUGCCAUUCUAAGUAUUGAUCUUAGUUCUAUUUUGAGAUUCUUCUUUUUAAGCCAUAUUUCUAAAAAUACUGGCUUCUUAAUAAAAUCUAGGGAGCUCCCUCAUCAGAGAAGGGUUUGGCAAGGCCAAAACUACACAGGUAGUGCCAACAGAAAAAAGCCCUGUAGAAGAAUAGGAACUGAUUUUCUGUAAAGCCAAUUGAUUUGAUAAUUGUAGCUCAUAUUGGCAGACAAAUUCAAGAUGUCAUUUAGCAGUGCUUUGUCAAGGUUAAUGAAUCUGCUUGUCUUUGGCUAGUAUGAGCAACCUCACCAUGGAUCACAAUUAGCUUCUCACAAUCCUCUGUUGUUUGCACUGCACAGAGCAAUGUACCAUUUCAUAGAUACAAAACCACCUAUUUUAUGUUCUGCUCUAGACAAUGGAACUUUAAUGUACUCUUGACAAAUGGGCUGCACUGAGUUUCUAACAUGCAAACUCAGAGUUUCUAAACAAAAAAUUUAUUUAGGCAGCAGAAGGCCCACAGGCCAAAAGCUGAUAAAGAGUUCUGAUGCAGAGAUUUAAGCUGAGCAUUAUUUUCCUUGUGUUAGUUUGUGUUCUGUUCAGGAUCAUUGUAGAUUUUCAUAAUAGGACUGUGGAGUUCCAGAUGAAUCAUUUUGCUCUGCUCAUGAUCUAAUUCCAUGAUUUUGUAUUCUUUAAUUAAAAUUGUAAUCCAUGCUUUUAUUUAAGUAUAUUCCAUCUACACGGUUUUCUGAUGGAGUAAUCGCUGUUGAGUAGAAGAAUCUGACACUUUCACUUUCUGGGUAACAUUCUUUAAAAAUAUGCACAAAACUAGCUAACUAUC